RNAcentral lists this non-coding RNA (787 nucleotides) under Pan troglodytes (chimpanzee). Lineage: Eukaryota; Metazoa; Chordata; Mammalia; Primates; Hominidae. The record is from RNAcentral.
AAUGGGCAUCCCACCCCAGCACUUUCUAGGAAGGAGGGCAGCAUUUUGAAGGGCUGGAAGUAGAGGAAGGAGGUUGCGGGUAGAAGACUCCAUACUUUCUGUGAUGCCUAUUCCUUAGUCAGAGGCGUGGCUUGCCUGGGCCCCUGGGUGCAGCUGCACAGAUUCAAGCAGCCUGAAGGAAAGGUGACUGACAGCUAAUGAUCUGAAAAGAACUUGUCUCAACUCAACGUCAUUCCUGGCAUUAUCGAACAAAGCAAUAAACCUCACAGAAUGGAAGCUACAGUGUCCAGGGCCAGCUCUGCUAAGGUAACCAAAGACAGAGAAGGAGGCAAAAGUGACAGAAGAAGCUCAUGGGAAACCAACAGAAAUGUAAUGGCUUUGGCAGAAAUGCAAUUAUCAAUUGGGAGCUUGAGAUGAAUGUUUUCUCAGUAUCCUAUGCUGAAAACAGGUAGAUACUAAUAUCGAUCUUCAAGGGAGGGCUGUUGAGUUUUGAAUAAGACAAAAACAUGGAAGCAAUCAGCACCAUGCUGGAAUCAAGGCUAUCUGUAAUCACAGGGCUAUUUGAAAAAGAGAAGAAAAGGUGUCUUGAAAUUCAACCAACAUGUUUCAAUUAUUUGCUCCUAAGAACAACAGAAGUUUCAACAUUCUGCCAACAAAGUAACUCCUGGAAGAUUGGCACAGAAGAAGGCACAAGGAAGUCAGUGAUAAAAAUAUUUAAGCAGCUUUGUCUGCCUUAGACCUUCCAACUAAAAGUACAGCAUGUGGAAUGGAAUGCUAAUAUGAGGAU